Molecule: ribosomal RNA, 254 nt
Filed under: uncultured bacterium
Lineage: Bacteria
Description: partial 16S ribosomal RNA
Rfam family: Bacterial small subunit ribosomal RNA
Source: RNAcentral
UACGUAGGGUGCGAGCGUUGUCCGGAAUUAUUGGGCGUAAAGAGCUCGUAGGCGGUGUGUCACGUCGGCCGUGAAAACCUGGGGCUUAACUCUGGGCGUGCGGUCGAUACGGGCAUCACUAGAGUUCGGCAGGGGAGACUGGAAUUCCUGGUGUAGCGGUGAAAUGCGCAGAUAUCAGGAGGAACACCGGUGGCGAAGGCGGCGACCUGGUCCGAGACUGACGCUGAGGCGCGAAAGCGUGGGGAGCAAACAGG